This 735-nucleotide long non-coding RNA is filed under the name Homo sapiens (human). RNAcentral describes it as "HSALNT0264649". The record is from RNAcentral. Lineage: Eukaryota; Metazoa; Chordata; Mammalia; Primates; Hominidae.
GUUUAUUCAACCAAGGUUACAGAGUUCCCUGUUACUGCUCCAGAGCUUGUAUUUUUCCAAAACCUGCUUCCUUAGUUUUUCUUUCAAUUAUCUUAGGUACUCCCUAUCCUUCCAACAAAUUCCUUUUAUCUUCUUUAAUAUAUAAAAUUUUGAGCAAGACAAAUAAUCCAGAGAUUACUUGACUCCCAUGUCAAGCCCUGAUGACAACACAUUGUCUUCGGAGCCCUGACGAAGACUGGUAAGAUGAAAGGUGGCCCACCUGCCAUCUCUGGUUUCAUCCUUGUUGUCUGUCAAUUAUCUGGCCAGCUAUGUUGUCAUCCCCCAUUCAUAGGGCAAUAUAAAUAUUCUUCCUGCACAACAAACUGUCUGACCAGUUUGUGAUUUAACACCUUUCUCUGCAAUCUCUUAGCUUUUUUAUUGUAACAUGUAAAGAGUGUCCCCCCAUUCUCAUAAGCUUGUUAUAAACAUGAAAUACAAUUUGCUGAACCAGAACCAGUGUCAGCUUCUCAAUCACUUUUUCCUAACCACCUUAUUUUAAAUUGCAAUCACACUACCCUGCCUGUUCUCCUUCCUGUUUUAUCUCUAUCAGUAGCACACACCCCAACUAAUCCUCUACAAUUUUCCCCAUUCUUUUAGUUUAUUAAUCAUCUCUCCUGUAAAGUCAGUUCCAUAAAGAUGGGGCUAUCUUUAUUUAUUUUUUAUUUUUUAUUUUUUUGAGACAGUGUCUUGUUGUAG